GGGGCUGAUUCUGGAUUCGACGGGAUUUGCGAGCCAAAGGUGCGCAUGCCACGAGGGCGGUUGGCCUCGUAAAGCCGCAAAAAAUGAGGUCACGCAAACGCGACGAGCCACCGCUUUAGCAGCUUAAUAACCUGCUUAGAGCCCUCUCUCCUAACUAGCCUCCGCUCUUGGGACGGGGAUGUCAAGAGGUCAAACCAAAAAGAGGAUCGCGCGGAUGCCCUGCACGGGGUUGAAGCGUUAAAACGAAUCAGGCUAGUCUGGUAGUGGCGUGUCCGUCCGCAGGUGCCCGGGCGAAUGUAAAGACUUGACUAAGCGUAAUAGCAGUACGCACGCACCGAGGAUGUAGGAAUUUCGGCGGACGCGGGUUUCAACUCCCGCCAGCUCCACCA
Molecule: transfer-messenger RNA, 389 nt
Filed under: Salmonella enterica subsp. enterica
Lineage: Bacteria; Pseudomonadati; Pseudomonadota; Gammaproteobacteria; Enterobacterales; Enterobacteriaceae
Rfam family: transfer-messenger RNA
About the family: Bacterial tmRNA, also known as 10Sa RNA or SsrA, is named for its dual tRNA and mRNA-like properties. Its role is to liberate the mRNA from a stalled ribosome.
Source: RNAcentral